UACAGAGGUCUCAAGCGUUGUUCGGAUUCAUUGGGCGUAAAGGGUGCGUAGGCGGCGCGGUAAGUCGGGUGUGAAAUCUUGGAGCUUAACUCCGAAACUGCAUUCGAUACUGCCGUGCUUGAGGACUGGAGAGGAGACUGGAAUUUAUGGUGUAGCGGUGAAAUGCGUAGAUAUCGUAAGGAAGACCAGUGGCGAAGGCGGGUCUCUGGACAGUUCCUGACGCUGAGGCACGAAGGUCAGGGGAGCAAACGGG
RNAcentral lists this ribosomal RNA (253 nucleotides) under uncultured bacterium. RNAcentral's name for it is "partial 16S ribosomal RNA". It matches the Rfam family "Bacterial small subunit ribosomal RNA", at positions 524 to 776 of the family's 1533-position model. The record is from RNAcentral.